UGAGACCCCUUCUCCCCUCACAGAGCUACAAUUUCCAGAGUAGUUUAACAACCAGUCCCUCUUCUCAGGGAACUCUGGAGACUGUAGCUCUGUGAGGGGAAAAGGAGUCUC
Non-coding RNA from Podarcis lilfordi (Lilford's wall lizard), 111 nucleotides. The record is from the annotation of a GenBank genome assembly. Lineage: Eukaryota; Metazoa; Chordata; Lepidosauria; Squamata; Lacertidae.